GUACGACACGAACGUUGUUCAUUUUGCAGCAGUCAUGAGUUUUCAAAUCGCAUAUUGUGGAAGUGAAUGUUUCGAAAUCGAUGAACAGAAAGAACACAGUGAAAAUAAGGACACCAAUAUUCAGACCAGAUUUCAAAACAAUACAGAGGACGAAAAAAUCGGCGAAGGCGACAAAAGCAUUGCCACCGAGGUAACAUCAACAUGGCUAAACUUUUCAUUAAAGCUUCAUGCUUUCGUAAAUACCAGCUACAACCCGUAUAUAGAUGAUAUUACUGAUGAUAAAGUUGAUAACAAAAUUCAACGUAGAAGAAAUUGCGCUCAGUUUGUUCAAAAACAAGUUGCAAAUGAAAGUAAAUCUUGCUUAUUUCCGAUUGUUUCUUGACACAUUAUAACGGACUCCAAGACAAUGGAAACAGGCACUAUCACCUUGGAUGAAAGACUGACAGAAACCGAGGAUGCUAUAGUCCCUCCUCCUGUGAAAAUGUCUGGAUUCCUGUCGUCUGCAGCAAACCCGUGGACAGCAGACGACAAUAUUGUCAAUGACGAAAAUGUAUUACCUGAAGUAGAGCAGGUUCAAGCGACAGAAGGGUGCUUGUGUUGGCCUCUUGUUCAUUGGAUUUACAGAAUACGGUACCGACUGUUUGACAAGAAAAAGGAAAAGAAACUUCAGAAAAAAUACAAAAUCUAAGGAUUAGGAAUAUAGAGAAAUACUACGAUAUUAAAAGCAAAGACAGAAGAAUAGUUUGGCCUG
Mytilus trossulus (common blue mussel) is the source of this 751-nucleotide long non-coding RNA. RefSeq lists it as uncharacterized. The transcript has 3 exons. The record is from RefSeq and is a predicted model, not a curated record. NCBI's taxonomy places the organism in Eukaryota, Metazoa, Mollusca, Bivalvia, Mytilida, Mytilidae.